RNAcentral lists this microRNA (21 nucleotides) under Ascaris suum (pig roundworm). RNAcentral describes it as "Asu-Mir-5345_3p* (star (passenger))". The record is from RNAcentral. Lineage: Eukaryota; Metazoa; Nematoda; Chromadorea; Rhabditida; Ascarididae.
CUGGCCAUUCCAUUGUCUGGC